UUCCAGACUCCUACGGGAGGCAGCAGUGGGGAAUAUUGCACAAUGGGGGAAACCCUGAUGCAGCGACGCCGCGUGAAGGAAGAAGUAUCUCGGUAUGUAAACUUCUAUCAGCAGGGAAGAAAACAGACGGUACCUGACUAAGAAGCCCCGGCUAACUACGUGCCAGCAGCCGCGGUAAUACGUGGGGGGCAAGCGUUAUCCGGAUUUACUGGGUGUAAAGGGAGCGUAGACGGCAGCGCAAGUCUGGAGUGAAAUGCCGGGGCCCAACCCCGGAACUGCUUUGGAAACUGUGCAGCUCGAGUGCAGGAGAGGUAAGCGGAAUUCCUAGUGUAGCGGUGAAAUGCGUAGAUAUUAGGAGGAACACCAGUGGCGAAGGCGGCUUACUGGACUGUAACUGACGUUGAGGCUCGAAAGCGUGGGGAGCAAACAGGAUUAGAUACCCGCGUAU
This 448-nucleotide ribosomal RNA is filed under the name uncultured bacterium. RNAcentral describes it as "bacterial SSU rRNA". It matches the Rfam family "Bacterial small subunit ribosomal RNA", at positions 329 to 793 of the family's 1533-position model. The record is from RNAcentral.